GAUGAACGCUGGCGGCGUGCCUAAUACAUGCAAGUCGAGCGAACGGACGAGUGGCUUGCUUCUGUGAUGUUAGCGGCGGACGUGCGAGUCACUCGUGGAUAACCUACCUAUAAGAUUGGGAUAACUUCGGGAAACCGGAGCUAAUACCGGAGGAUAUUUUGUACCUCAUGGUUCAAAAGUGAAAUAGGGUCUUGCUGUCACUUAUAGAUGGAUCCGCGCUGCCUUAGCUAGUUGGUAGGGUAAAGGCUUACAAAGGCAACGAUGCAUAGACGACCUGAGGGGGGGAACGCCCAGCCUGGAACUGAGACACGGUCCAGACCCCUACGGGAGGCACCAGCAGGGAAUCCUCGGGAAUGGGGGAAAGCAUGCCGGAGCAACGUCGCGUGAGUGAUGAAGUUCUUCGGAUCGUAAACCUCUGUUAUUAGGGAAGAACAUAUGUGGAAGGACCUGUGCACAUCUUGACGGUACCUAAUCAGAAAGCCACGGCUAACUACGUG
RNAcentral lists this ribosomal RNA (497 nucleotides) under uncultured bacterium. Its description in RNAcentral is "partial 16S ribosomal RNA". It matches the Rfam family "Bacterial small subunit ribosomal RNA", at positions 28 to 507 of the family's 1533-position model. The record is from RNAcentral.